GGGUGCCACAUAGAAUAGGCGAGGGGAGGAUCGCGCCGCCUCCUCCUCUCCCACUCACCGCCGCGGCGUGAGAGGUUGAAGACGGAUGUGUGGUGGAUGCGCGGCAGCAGGCAGGCCCACCAGCCGCCGCCGAUGGCGCGGGGCCUCCACCGCAGAUGAGGGACCCGCACGAGGACGACCUCGAGGAGUACCGUUCAGGGGCUGCGUGCGCAGUCCCGCGGCUGCUGCAUGCAGGAGGAAGAGAAGAAAGUGCUCUGCCGAGGCCCGAAGCUGGUUUAGGGCGGGUUGAGCGGGUCUAGCUCCGGAAGUCCGAAAACACCUUAGGAGCAAGUCGAGAGGCGGAGAUGGUCUAGGUGCGACUCCCCGAAGCCGCGGUAGGGGGCCACACUAAAGGAGUACCCAGGGCCGAACUAGCUCCGGUUUUCGAAGCCGGCAGGCAGGUGGUACCGACCCUGGACGCGCCUUUGACAUCUACUUAAAUAUGCUCACCUUAGCUGUGACACCGUCCCAUGCCACCUCAGUGUAACACGCCGGAGCCAUAGGGUUAGUCCCUAAGGAAGAUUCCUACGUAUAUAAAACUUCCCACUCCCUAUUACUAAACCAAUUUCCGGAAGCCGGAGAACGAAGUGACUUGUAAACACAGGUAGCUGGUUCAACAUAUAUGCCCUCUUCUAUUCGUUCAGGUUUCACUACAAGAUCGACCCGGAGUUGUGGAACAGGGAGACUGGUGUUGCGGGUUGGUACUAGACCAGUCGUUGGUUAACAUUGUGAUACGGAUCCAAGACUAAUAUAGAUGAACUACGUCUAGUGUACUCGUCUCCCCAAGUCGUUGAGAAUGAUGAGGACCGACACUUUCGAAGACGAAUAUUCAGUAGAGGUCAUGGACGAAUAGGUACCAGAAAAACUCGGUAGGUUUAACGUUUUGCGUUCAGUGGUUGUGGUUCUUAGUCCAAGGACGGUCUCCUUGGGUUUCAUCUUGUUCUCUUCCUUUUGCUGCCACUUCUCCAAGACAACCUCUUUCCCGACGUAGUGUGUGAACGGCGGUUCCGGUACAACAGCUCCUCGGACACUAACGGCGAGGUCGACGGAGAGCGCGGUACCGGGUAGCGCACCCCACGUAACACUCUUAGACGUAGUCCGAGCACGGCGGAGAGGUCGUCACUACGUCGUGAGAUCCAUUAUCAAUCAUAACCACAGUUGCUCUCGUUGAUCUCAGCGAUCGACAAUACGAUUUUCGUUGUCCUACGUAGAAGAGGUACGUUCUUCUGUUAUUCCUAUUUCGUCGUUUCUCGUCCGGCAACCACCACUACCUAUUAAAGAGAUUAGUUAAUUUAGCAUCUACGGGAGGUCGUAACGUGUGAUUCUCUAACGUAACGAAUCUAUAUUACUUUCCACUGAAGUCAAAAAUUCUUUCAACUCCACAGCACUAACAAUAAAAAAAUACGUUGUUAAUGGAUUCGAACGGACCGUUCAUAUGUAAGACUUAACAUACAAGUCUACUAUAAGUGUAUAAAUCUGACUUAGCAAUUUAGAUCGUAUAAAUAAAAAGAGUGGAUUAUUAAAACUAAUACUACAUAGGGUAUCUUACGACCAAAUCUGUAAUGUUAGACCUUGGCUUAUUUAUUUUUAUCUCUCUAAGUAUAUCACCGUGAUUUCACGAUAAUUCAAUAUUAUACAAAAAUCAACGUAAGGUCAUUCUCCUUUG
Molecule: ribosomal RNA, 1705 nt
Filed under: Triticum aestivum (bread wheat)
Lineage: Eukaryota; Viridiplantae; Streptophyta; Magnoliopsida; Poales; Poaceae
Description: partial small subunit ribosomal RNA
Source: RNAcentral